RNAcentral lists this ribosomal RNA (434 nucleotides) under uncultured bacterium. RNAcentral's name for it is "partial 16S ribosomal RNA". It matches the Rfam family "Bacterial small subunit ribosomal RNA", at positions 338 to 789 of the family's 1533-position model. The record is from RNAcentral.
CCUACGGGAGGCAGCAGUAAGGAAUCUUCCGCAAUGGGCGAAAGCCUGACGGAGCAACGCCGCGUGGGCGAUGAAGGCCUUCGGGUCGCAAAGCCCUUUUCUGUGGGACGAUAAUGACGGUACCACAGGAAUAAGCCACGGCUAACUACGUGCCAGCAGCCGCGGUAAUACGUAGGAUGCAAGCGUUGUCCGGAUUUAUUGGGCGUAAAGAGUGCGUAGGCGGCUUCUUAAGUUGGGCGUGAAAUCCCCCGGCUAAACCGGGGAGGGUCGUCCUAAACUGGGGGGCUUGAGGGUAGAAGAGGAGAGCGAAAUUCCCGGUGUAGUGGUGAAAUGCGUAGAUAUCGGGAGGAACACCGGUGGCGACGGCGGCUCUCGAGGCUAUUCCUAACGCUGAGGCACGAAAGCGGGGGGAGCGAACGGAAUUAGAUACCCCG